RNAcentral lists this ribosomal RNA (502 nucleotides) under uncultured soil bacterium. RNAcentral describes it as "bacterial SSU rRNA". It matches the Rfam family "Bacterial small subunit ribosomal RNA", at positions 26 to 530 of the family's 1533-position model. The record is from RNAcentral.
AGAAUGAACGCUGGCGGCGCGCCUAAUACAUGCAAGUCGAGCGAGAAGACGUAGCAAUACGUUUGUAAAGCGGCGAACGGGUGAGGAAUACAUGGGUAACCUACCCUCGAGUGGGGGAAUAACUAGCCGAAAGGUUAGCUAAUACCGCGUACGCUCCUUGGACUUCGGUUCAGGGAGGAAAGCGAUACCGUGGGUAUCGCGCUCUUGGUUGGGCUCAUGUCCUAUCAGCUUGUUGGUGAGGUAACGGCUCACCAAGGCUUCGACGGGUAGCUGGUCUGAGAGGACGAUCAGCCACACUGGCACUGCGACACGGGCCAGACUCCUACGGGAGCAGCAGUAAGGAAUAUGCGCAAUGGGCGAAAGCCUGACGCAGCGACGCGCGUGGGGAUGAAGGUCUCGGAUUGUAAACCCCUUUGGAGGAAGAGUGGAACGAGCAAUCGUUCGACGGUACCUCCAGAAGCAGCCACGGCUAACCUCGCGCCAGCAGCCGCGGUAAUCGUGA